RNAcentral lists this non-coding RNA (21 nucleotides) under Caenorhabditis elegans. The record is from RNAcentral. Lineage: Eukaryota; Metazoa; Nematoda; Chromadorea; Rhabditida; Rhabditidae.
CUCACUCAAUGAAAAGACACG